This 196-nucleotide RNase P RNA is filed under the name Shigella flexneri. RNAcentral's name for it is "partial RNase P RNA component class A". It matches the Rfam family "Bacterial RNase P class A", at positions 1 to 173 of the family's 367-position model. Rfam says of the family: Ribonuclease P (RNase P) is a ubiquitous endoribonuclease, found in archaea, bacteria and eukarya as well as chloroplasts and mitochondria. Lineage: Bacteria; Pseudomonadati; Pseudomonadota; Gammaproteobacteria; Enterobacterales; Enterobacteriaceae. The record is from RNAcentral.
GAAGCUGACCAGACAGUCGCCGCUUCGUCGUCGUCCUCUUCGGGGGAGACGGGCGGAGGGGAGGAAAGUCCGGGCUCCAUAGGGCAGGGUGCCAGGUAACGCCUGGGGGGGAAACCCACGACCAGUGCAACAGAGAGCAAACCGCCGAUGGCCCGUGCAAGCGGGAUCAGGUAAGGGUGAAAGGGUGCGGUAAGAG